Molecule: ribosomal RNA, 977 nt
Filed under: Nocardiopsis sp. ZZY-2013
Lineage: Bacteria; Bacillati; Actinomycetota; Actinomycetes; Streptosporangiales; Nocardiopsidaceae
Description: bacterial SSU rRNA
Rfam family: Bacterial small subunit ribosomal RNA
Source: RNAcentral
CAGAGUUUGAUCCUGGCUCAGGACGAACGCUGGCGGCGUGCUUAACACAUGCAAGUCGAGCGGUAAGGCCCUUCGGGGUACACGAGCGGCGAACGGGUGAGUAACACGUGAGCAACCUGCCCCCGACUCCGGGAUAAGCGGUGGAAACGCCGUCUAAUACCGGAUACGACCGGCCACCUCAUGGUGGCCGGUGGAAAGUUCUUCGGUUGGGGAUGGGCUCGCGGCCUAUCAGCUUGUUGGUGGGGUAAAGGCCUACCAAGGCGAUUACGGGUAGCCGGCCUGAGAGGGCGACCGGCCACACUGGGACUGAGACACGGCCCAGACUCCUGCGGGAGGCAGCAGUGGGGAAUAUUGCGCAAUGGGCGAAAGCCUGACGCAGCGACGCCGCGUGGGGGAUGACGGCCUUCGGGUUGUAAACCUCUUUUACCACCAACGCAGGCUCCCAGUUCUCUGGGGGUUGACGGUAGGUGGGGAAUAAGGACCGGCUAACUACGUGCCAGCAGCCGCGGUAAUACGUAGGGUCCGAGCGUUGUCCGGAAUUAUUGGGCGUAAAGAGCUCGUAGGCGGCGUGUCGCGUCUGCUGUGAAAGACCGGGGCUUAACUCCGGUUCUGCAGUGGAUACGGGCAUGCUAGAGGUAGGUAGGGGAGACUGGAAUCCCUGGUGUAGCGGUGAAAUGCGCAGAUAUCAGGAGGAACACCGGUGGCGAAGGCGGGUCUCUGGGCCUUACCUGACGCUGAGGAGCGAAAGCAUGGGGAGCGAACAGGAUUAGAUACCCUGGUAGUCCAUGCCGUAAACGUUGGGCGCUAGGUGUGGGGACUUUCCACGGUUUCCGCGCCGUAGCUAACGCAUUAAGCGCCCCGCCUGGGGAGUACGGCCGCAAGGCUAAAACUCAAAGGAAUUGACGGGGGCCCGCACAAGCGGCGGAGCAUGUUGCUUAAUUCGACGCAACGCGAAGAACCUUACCAAGGUUUGACAU